RNAcentral lists this ribosomal RNA (1372 nucleotides) under uncultured bacterium. Its description in RNAcentral is "bacterial SSU rRNA". It matches the Rfam family "Bacterial small subunit ribosomal RNA", at positions 28 to 1381 of the family's 1533-position model. The record is from RNAcentral.
GAUGAACGCUGGCGGCGUGCCUAAUACAUGCAAGUCGAGCGAACGGACGAGAAGCUUGCUUCUCUGAUGUUAGCGGCGGACGGGUGAGUAACACGUGGAUAACCUACCUAUAAGACUGGGAUAACUUCGGGAAACCGGAGCUAAUACCGGAUAAUAUUUUGAACCGCAUGGUUCAAAAGUGAAAGACGGUCUUGCUGUCACUUAUAGAUGGAUCCGCGCUGCAUUAGCUAGUUGGUAAGGUAACGGCUUACCAAGGCAACGAUGCAUAGCCGACCUGAGAGGGUGAUCGGCCACACUGGAACUGAGACACGGUCCAGACUCCUACGGGAGGCAGCAGUAGGGAAUCUUCCGCAAUGGGCGAAAGCCUGACGGAGCAACGCCGCGUGAGUGAUGAAGGUCUUCGGAUCGUAAAACUCUGUUAUUAGGGAAGAACAUAUGUGUAAGUAACUGUGCACAUCUUGACGGUACCUAAUCAGAAAGCCACGGCUAACUACGUGCCAGCAGCCGCGGUAAUACGUAGGUGGCAAGCGUUAUCCGGAAUUAUUGGGCGCAAAGCGCGCGUAGGCGGUUUUUUAAGUCUGAUGUGAAAGCCCACGGCUCAACCGUGGAGGGUCAUUGGAAACUGGAAAACUUGAGUGCAGAAGAGGAAAGUGGAAUUCCAUGUGUAGCGGUGAAAUGCGCAGAGAUAUGGAGGAACACCAGUGGCGAAGGCGACUUUCUGGUCUGUAACUGACGCUGAUGUGCGAAAGCGUGGGGAUCAAACAGGAUUAGAUACCCUGGUAGUCCACGCCGUAAACGAUGAGUGCUAAGUGUUAGGGGGUUUCCGCCCCUUAGUGCUGCAGCUAACGCAUUAAGCACUCCGCCUGGGGAGUACGACCGCAAGGUUGAAACUCAAAGGAAUUGACGGGGACCCGCACAAGCGGUGGAGCAUGUGGUUUAAUUCGAAGCAACGCGAAGAACCUUACCAAAUCUUGACAUCCUUUGACAACUCUAGAGAUAGAGCUUUCCCCUUCGGGGGACAAAGUGACAGGUGGUGCAUGGUUGUCGUCAGCUCGUGUCGUGAGAUGUUGGGUUAAGUCCCGCAACGAGCGCAACCCUUAAGCUUAGUUGCCAUCAUUAAGUUGGGCACUCUAAGUUGACUGCCGGUGACAAACCGGAGGAAGGUGGGGAUGACGUCAAAUCAUCAUGCCCCUUAUGAUUUGGGCUACACACGUGCUACAAUGGACAAUACAAAGGGCAGCGAAACCGCGAGGUCAAGCAAAUCCCAUAAAGUUGUUCUCAGUUCGGAUUGUAGUCUGCAACUCGACUACAUGAAGCUGGAAUCGCUAGUAAUCGUAGAUCAGCAUGCUACGGUGAAUACGUUCCCGGGUCU